UACGAAGGGGGCUAGCGUUGCUCGAAAUCACUGGGCGUAAAGGGUGCGUAGGCGGGUCUUUAAGUCAGGGGUGAAAUCCUGGAGCUCAACUCCAGAACUGCCUUUGAUACUGAGGAUCUUGAGUUCGGGAGAGGUGAGUGGAACUGCGAGUGUAGAGGUGAAAUUCGUAGAUAUUCGCAAGAACACCAGUGGCGAAGGCGGCUCACUGGCCCGAUACUGACGCUGAGGCGCGAAAGCGUGGGGAGCAAACAGG
This 253-nucleotide ribosomal RNA is filed under the name uncultured bacterium. RNAcentral's name for it is "partial 16S ribosomal RNA". It matches the Rfam family "Bacterial small subunit ribosomal RNA", at positions 524 to 776 of the family's 1533-position model. The record is from RNAcentral.